AGAACCUGAAACCUUGUGCCUACAAGCACCGAGAGUCCGUUAAAGGAUGAUCGGGUACUUUUUGUAGAACGGUCCGGCGAGUUAAUAUUUGCAGCGAGGUUAAGGAACUGGAGUUCCGGAGCCGCAGCGAGAGCGAGUCUGAAUAGGGCGUAUGAAGUUGCAGGUAUUAGACCCGAAACCGGGUGACCUAUCCAUGAGCAGGCUGAAGCGGUGGUAAGACACCGUGGAGGGCCGCACCCACGUCUGUUGAAAAAGCCGGGGAUGACUUGUGGAUAGCGGAGAAAUUCCAAUCGAACUCGGAGAUAGCUGGUUCUCCCCGAAAUAGCUUUAGGGCUAGCGUUAUUUUAGAUUACCGGAGGUAAAGCACUGAAUGGUCUAGGGGCCGCGAGGUUACCAAAGCCUAUCAAACUCUGAAUGCCGGAUAAUUGAUGAAUAGCAGUCAGACUGUGUGAGAUAAGUCUCAUAGUCAAAAGGGAAACAGCCCAGAUCUACAGCUAAGGUCCCAAAUGAACACUAAGUGGAAAAUGAUGUGAAACUGCGAAGACAACCAGGAUGUUGGCUUAGAAGCAGCCACUCAUUCAAAGAGUGCGUAAUAGCUCACUGGUCGAGUGGUUUUGCGCAGAAAAUGUAACGGGGCUAAGUGUUCAACCGAAGCUUAGGCAUUGCAGUAAUGCAUUGGGUAGGGGAGCGUCGUAUGCGGGGCGAAGUCAGAGCGGAAGCACUGGUGGACUGCAUACGAGUGAGAAUGCCGGAAUAAGUAGCGAGAAUUAUGUGAGAAUCAUAAUGGCCGAAAAUCUAAGGUUUCUUGGGGAAGGUUCGUCCGCCCAAGGUUAGUCGGGAGCUAAGCUCAGGCCGAAAGGCGUAGGCGAUGCACAUACGGUAGAAAUUCCGUAACCACCGAACUUUAAGCUAGAGGGACGCUUUCUUUAAGGUUAUCCCGGGCGAUGGUUGCCCCGGGCGUAAGGGACCGAAAUUUAGUAGGGAAGUAACUGGCGAGAGAGACGAGAAAAGCUCUAGUGUAUACUAAGGUGCCCGUACCGCAAACCGACACAGGUAGAAGGGAUGAGUAUUCUAAGGCCAACGGGAGAAGGGUUGUUAAGGAACUCGGCAAAUUGGCCCCGUAACUUCGGGAUAAGGGGCGCCUGCGAGAGCAGGCCGCAGUGAAAAGGCCCAAGCGACUGUUUAGCAAAAACACAGCUCUCUGCUAAAUCGAAAGAUGACGUAUAGGGGGUGACGCCUGCCCGGUGCUGGAAGGUUAAGGGGAGUGCUUAGCGCAAGCGAAGGUACGAACUUAAGCCCCAGUAAACGGCGGCCGUAACUAUAACGGUCCUAAGGUAGCGAAAUUCCUUGUCAGGUAAGUUCUGACCCGCACGAAUGGCGUAACGAUUUGGGCACUGUCUCAACAGCCCGCCCGGCGAAAUUGUAGUACCGGUGAAGAUGCCGGUUUCCCGCAACUAGACGGAAAGACCCCAUGGAGCUUCACUGUAGCUUGAUAUUGGACUUCGGUAUUCCAUGUACAGGAUAGGUGGGAGGCUAGGAAGCGAGCGCGCCAGCGUUCGUGGAGCCA
RNAcentral lists this ribosomal RNA (1567 nucleotides) under human gut metagenome. RNAcentral describes it as "bacterial LSU rRNA". It matches the Rfam family "Bacterial large subunit ribosomal RNA", at positions 545 to 2188 of the family's 2925-position model. The record is from RNAcentral.